Molecule: ribosomal RNA, 477 nt
Filed under: uncultured bacterium
Lineage: Bacteria
Description: bacterial SSU rRNA
Rfam family: Bacterial small subunit ribosomal RNA
Source: RNAcentral
GAUGAACGCUGGCGGCGUGCUUAACACAUGCAAGUCGAACGAAGCACUUUACUUGAUCUCUUCGGAGUGAUUGUUUUGUGACUGAGUGGCGGACGGGUGAGUAACGCGUGGGUAACCUGCCUCACACAGGGGGGAUAACAGUUGGAAACGGCUGCUAAUACCGCAUAAGCGCACAGUACCGCAUGGUACGGUGUGAAAAAACUCCGGUGGUGUGAGAUGGACCCGCGUCUGAUUAGCUAGUUGGCAGGGCAACGGCCUACCAAGGCGACGAUCAGUAGCCGACCUGAGAGGGUGACCGGCACAUUGGGACUGAGACACGGCCCAAAACUCCUACGGGAGCAGCAGUGGGGAAUAUUGCACAAUGGGGGAAACCUGAUGCAGCGACGCCGCGUGAGCGAAGAAGUAUUUCGGAUGUAAAAGCUCUAUCAGCAGGGAANAAGAAAUGACGUACCUGACUAAGAAGCACCGGCUAAAAUA